Phyllopteryx taeniolatus (common seadragon) is the source of this 7043-nucleotide long non-coding RNA. RefSeq lists it as uncharacterized. The transcript is spliced from 2 exons. The record is from RefSeq and is a predicted model, not a curated record. Lineage: Eukaryota; Metazoa; Chordata; Actinopteri; Syngnathiformes; Syngnathidae.
GGACAUGGAACCUUGCCAACACAUUUCAUACAUAGUGCAUAUCUUACAAGUGCAGCUGAGAAUUAGAGAUAGGGGACCCUCACCCUACUCUGCCCACCCCACCAUCUGCCCGCCUGGGGCUGGGGGCUCUGUGGCUUAGCUUCCACAUUAGCAGGCGUGACAGCCCUGCCCUCAAUCAACCUCUCAUACACACACACACACACACACACACACACACACAUACCUUCUUCUUUUCCUCUCCUCUCUCCCCUCACUAUUUUUAAUGACAGGAGCUAGUUAGUGUGAGUUUUGCUUUUCCUUACUGUAAGUGAAAAACUAUUACUGUUCUGUUCUAAUCUGGUGCUUUGUAGACAUAAGUGCUUCUAAAUAAAUGUGUGACAGAGUUUUUGCGUUUGUCUCAGUUAAGGCUGGAUCUAAUCUUCAGUGGAUGUUCAAGAUGUAAAAAAUAGAAAGCUUCACCCAGACUGUUUUCCUUUCAUCAUUUAUGUCCUCCAUUUUUGUGCCCCUGUUUCUCCACUGGUGUGAACCUCACAUCCUGUUCCCCGUCCAGCAAAAUAAACAGUCAGGCUGGGAAUCCCCAGAAUCUGUAUACAUGAAGAUGGAACCUCAUUCCUCUCGAACUGGUCCGAGGAAUUAAAGUUGUGGAUGACUGAAACAGGAUACAAGAAAGGAAAAACAUGUCUCCCAUAAGUCAAUGCUUUGGCUGACCCAUGGUGUCUGUCUUUGGGUUUUGCAAAUAUUUAACUUAUAAAAGUAAUUAUCAGACUUUUAGGGGUGCUUUUCAGCUGUUUUUCGGACAAUUGUUAUGUUUGCGUCAACUGAUUGUUUUCCCCUAUUUGAUGAGAAAAGGAAUGAAGUGGUGCAUUGAAGUUCUAACUCCCCAAAAGUUGUACAAUUUAGAGUUUGACCAAAAUGUCUGUGAAAAAUGUGCUCCUAAUUUUUUGAGUUUGAACCUUCAUACCUGAGCAGCAGGGCAGGCUCGACUAUUAGGCAAUGUAGGCAAACAUUAAGGGUGCUGCAGCCUCCAGGAGGCAACAGAAAAUCGUGGAAUAAGUCACCUAAAAUAAUUAUAUUCUUAGAAAAUUUGUAAUUAUUAUGAACUCUUAAAAAGGAAAAGCCAGCAUAGAUUCAUAAAUAAUCCGAUGCCAAUGUUUGAAAGCCCACAGUUUACUCUUGUUGCCAUUGCUUAAUAAUGCCAUAUUAAACUGUCUCUAUUGGGUUUGUCAUGUUUAUAUUAUAAAUUACAGUAAUUACAUUAUUUGAAAUUGUACUUCAUAUUUUAAAUUGGGUGACAUGUUAUCUUAUACAUUAAGACAAUGGCAAAUGCUACUUGAUUUCUUUUGUAAGCACACCACAUGUAAUCCGGCAAUAGAGGGGGGCGCCAUAUAAAAUCACACCUGAGGUGCCACAUUGCAGAGCAGAAAUAUUUUCUCUCUUGAGCGAUCAUUGGCACUGUCACUGAUUUUACUUUGGUUCCAUUAGCUUGGGAUUGCUCAGACUCAAAAUAACAAACAGCUUUUUUGUGAACAAAAGACUGAAUAUUCUGCGACUGUCGCUGUGCAUUUGGGUCCAUCUAUGUGUAAUAUUUGACAAUAAGGUUCACUGAGUGAAAAUGUAGACUGUUACAUUAGCUUCUUUGCGCACGGUUGAAAGUUAUCAAUAAAAUUAAAAUCAUACUUAAAACGUCCGGUUAAUACAGGUCUUUUGGUGACAGUUUGUACUUACAUCAUUAAUCUGUUUUGUAUGACUGGUAUUAUAAGUGCAAUAUAAUAUUGACAUCAUUUAGCAAAAGAACUCUAUGAAUCAUCAUCAUCGUCAUCAUCAUUCAAGAUUCAGAGAUAAUAGUUCACUUCCAAAAGUGUCCAUCCUCACCACCUUCUCCGUCUCCAUCUGGUCAUCGGCAGCCUCUGCCAAGGACAGAGGCAGACUGCAGUGUAUCAUUCAUGCCACUGAGAAGGUGAUUGGCUACAAUCUGCCAUCCUUCCAGGACUCACGGGUCAUGCUGAGUAUGUUGUGACCCUUUCCAACCUCACCUUAAACAUACAAAUCGUCAAGUCCAUCAAGACCAGAAACUCAAAACACAGAAACUUAGAAUUAUUGACUGAAGAUAAUCAAUAAGGACCCCAAAGGACCAUUCACACCACCCUUCCAUUAGCCUAUUUCACACAGAGAUCUGUGCAAAAUUAAUGCAUCAGAGCCAUAUAAGUAGAUAUGGCAUUUAUGAGCUUGUGCCUUUCAUAGAGAGCUAUCUUUUUACAUACAGUGUAAAAUUCUACUGUUGUACGAGCACAAAUUUCUCAGCAUAUCUUACCUUUACCAUCAUCUAACUUAAAUCAUUCACUACCAUUCAUCUAACUUAAGCAGAAACCAUGACACGUAAAAACAUACAAAUUUCUAUACUCUGAAUUGGUUGAAGCUACUUUUAGAAAUGUAAGAAACUACCAGAUUCGUUUGCUGUGUGUGACCACUGUUUGAUUCCUGUUUCCAACCAUGAGUCAGGACUGCUUUUGAGUUGUGUGCGUUUGAGUGAAACUGUAACGACAGACUGCUGUUCACUUCCUUUCCAAGCGCAUGGUGAAGAAGUCGUAAUGGAAGACUGCUGUUCUUUCCUGUUUCCAACCGCGAGCCAAAUCUGUGCUUUAAAAAGCAUGAUUGUCCGCUAAACUGAUGAGAAAGGCUUACUUGAACCCAUAUGAAGACCCUUCAAGAAACAUUACUACAACUGACAUACUCAAUGAUAUGUACUGUAUCUCCUGGUAGAACAGAUGCUCAUCAAUGUUUAGCAUUGUUACUUGUUAAAUCACUUUGAUGUUAUUAAACAAAUGGAAAGAACAGUUAUUAGAGGAAAAGACAAUUCUCCCUUGCACUUAAUGACAGCUUACUAAAGAUAAGUCGAGCGACUCAAACACGUUAUUCUUGCUGCUACUAGCCCACUUAUCAUCUGACAUACUUUGCCUCAAUUGGAAAUGCACAUACAGCUUCUCAGAUGGUUCUCUGCAGAAUUAGGUAGCACAUAAAACAGUGCUGGUUAGGACACAAGUCACUUAAAAAGCCACUUUGAAUUUAGAUUAACAUAAUAUAGGGGAACGGUGGAUGAGUGGUUAGGACAUCCACCUCACACUUCUGAGGACCUGGGUUCAAAUCCAGCCUCGCUUGUGUGGAGUUUGCAUGUUCUCCUCGUGCCUGCGUGGGUUUUCUCCUGAACCUGGGUCAUCAGAACUGUGAAACUGAUGUGCUAACCAGUCAUCCACCGUGCCAGAAUUAUUAAUGUAAACACAAUAUACAGUGGGUACGGAAAGUUUUCAGACCCCCUUCAAUUUUUCACUCUUUCUUAUAUUGCAGUCAUUUGUUAAAAUCAUUUAAGUGAAAUGUUUUCCUCAUUAAUGUACACACAGUACCCCAUAUUGACAGAAAAAAAAAAUGGAAUUGUUGAAAUUUUUGCAGAUUUAUUAAAAAAGAAAAACGGAAAUAUCCCACAGUCAUAAGUAUUCAGACCCUUUGCUGUGACACUCAUAUAUUUGACUCGGGUGCUCUCCAUUUCUUCUGAUCAUCCUUGAGAUGGUUCUCCACCUUCAUUGGAGUCCAGCUGUGUUUGAUUAUACCUAUUGGACUUGUUUAGGAAAGCCACACACCUGUCUGUAUAAGACCUUACAGCUCACAGUGCAUGUCAAAGCAGAUGAGAAUCGUGAGGUCAAAGGAACUGCCUGAAGAGCUCAGAGACAGAAUUGUGGCAAGGCACAGAUCUGGCGAAGGUUACAAAAAAUAUUCUGCUGCACUUAAGGCUCCUAAGAGCACAGUGGCCUCCAUAAUCCUUAAAUGGAAGACGUUUGGGAUGAUCAGAAACCUUCCUAGAGCUGGCCGUCCAGCCAAAGUGAGCAAUUGCGGGAGAAGAGCCUUGGUGAGAGAGGUAAAGAAGAACCCAAAGAUCACUGUGGCUGAGGUCCAGAGAUGCAGUCGGGAGAUGGGAGAAAGUUCUAGAAAGUCAAGCAUCACUUCAGCCCUCCACCAGUCAGGGCUUUAUGGCAGAGUGGCCCGACGGAAACCUCUCCUCAGUGCAAGACACAUGGAAGCCCGCAUGGAGUUUGUUAAAAAACACCUGAAGGACACCAAGAUGGUGAAAAAUAAGAUUCUCUGGUCUGAAAAAUUAACUUAAAUGAUCUUAGCAAAUGGCUACAAUAUAAAAAAAGAGUGAAAAAUUGAAAGGUCUGAAUACUUUCCGUACUCAUUGUAUAUUUAAAUAUAUAUAAUGUAUUGGUGGAGUUUGAGAGCGCCGCUGUGGCCGAAUGCGUCUCCGUUAAACAUUUUUGAGUGAAUUCUCACAUGCGCAUUUUUGCUUACCUGUUGAAAGCCCCACAACGACUCUGACAAUUUAUUCCAGGCAUAUAUUUUUGUGGCUCAAACAUAUAGGGAGAAGUAGAAGUAGUAGAAGUAUGCUCGUCGUACAAAUUUAUUUUGUGCGACAGGUGAAAGCCUAGCUGGGCGUGUUUUCAGUGCAUUCAGUGGAAACGCCAACAGCGUCCAAGGGCAGGAAAAAACGCCUGAUUUUUCAUGAUUUUGAAGGCUCAUUUUUAGUUUAGUUUAUCAGUUUAUUUUUGAAAGGGGACAAUGCAAUUUCAUAAAACACAUGAAGUACACAUGGUUAAAAAAGCCAGAAUUAGCCAGAAGGCUAGUUUUCAUCUGUAGUCCCCUGGCCAUGAUGUAAAAAAGCAGUAAAAUACAUCUACAAGACAAUAUAAUACAGGAUACAUAAUCAAACUAUACUAUUAAGAGAGAAUAAAACCAUAAUUUUUUUGAUCAUAACAAAAAGACAACAUAACAUACUUGUCUUUUAGUGUUGGCAGCUAUAGGUGUUAACUAGCCACAUUUUCAGUUUUUUUGUGAAGACCUUGUAUGUUGUAAGCAGUUUAACCUCCUCAGGUACUGAGUUCCACUCACCAGCGCUCCUCACUGACCAGGCUGACUUACUGAAAGUGCUCCUGCGCAGAGGAAUGAGACAGUCACCUCUGACAGAGCCUCGAGUGACACGCUCAGAGCUGUUUCUUUGGCUGAUGAACUCAGCCAGAGGAGCUGGGGCCAAAUCAUGCAGUACUUUAUAAAUCAAAUUUAAAUCUGCAAAUAUGGGAAGACUGUCCCAGUUUAAAAGACUGUAUUUUUUUUAAAUUGCACAGUGAUGAUAGUGCCUUGGUUUUUUAUCCAUCACUUUAAUUACUUGUUUGUACAAAACUUCCAAUGGUUUUUUUAGAUACUAAGUGGUGAUUAUUAUUUUUUUUUAAUCAUUCAAAUUUGCCAGGGUUUUUAACAACACUCUUAUCUGUGGUGUGUCAAAUUUAUAUAUGUUUUCACUCAACGGGGACUUUAGUACAGCAUUUGCGAAGGCUAGUGAUAGAAUAUGCAGUGUUCUGAUUUACAACUUCGGGUUACGUCGUCGCUGCGGUGCGUAUAAUGCUCACGAUCCCUUGUGAUCCAUGCACAAGGGAUGUUUUUUUCCCGUCUCUUUAGGUUAGUAUUGCAAGUUAAUACAUCUAAUUAAACGUUUUAAUCAACGAGGGCACAAUAUUGAUUUUGAUCUCUGUUUAGGGAAGGGGAGGGGUGUCAGAGUUAGCGCAUACCACCGUGAUUAUCCUUGCUUCAGUAGACCUGUCACUCAACCUGCAAACAUCUCCUCUCCCUCCAGCCCCCGUCAAGAGAGGACUUGGAGAACAAUGAGUUGAAGUCAUCCCAGACUUAUAAUUAGUGUCAUGUCGACUCCUAUUGACACGUCCACUCUUUGAUUAAACAAUUACCUCAAUGCAAUAAGCCUCAGUGAUUGAGUCAUAAUCUUGAAUAAGCCGUAGCCAGUUAUAUGGACACCUAUGAUGAGCUCAUCAUUUGCUUGGUGACUGGUCCAUCUGUUAUGACUGGAUGGUCUCAUUUUGGUCGCAGUCUCUACCAAUAGCAGGUUGUCUCAAGUUGAACCCAGUGUGUGAGGAUGCAUGUGCGCAAGCAAACAGAAUGCCCAUGUAUGCAAAUGCUUUCAUGCACGAGUCUGCAUUCUCUUGGUAUGAUACACACACACAACACGCAUACACUUCCCUUCACACAUGCACUUGCAAACAAAUGCAUCUGCCCACCUGCCCACCCAGCACUCCUCCACCUCACACGUAAACAGCCUGGCAUCUGUCACAUGAGGUGGGGGAGCGCACUUGGAGGGGGGUCUCUCUCUAAUACAUACACACACAAACAUCCGGACACACCGACACCAUCUUGCUGUCUGCACCCGCUGUCCCCUUUUGACCUUUUGACAGGUACACGGAGCAUUUCAAAGUGAGAAGGGGAGGCCAAGUCAGAGAUGCGCCCUAUCCGCAGGUAGCUGUCCAACUUCUUGGGGCCCCGUGGGGACGGUGUUGCCUCUCCUAGGAAGCCAUAACUCUCCCCUCAGGAAGUGAGGUGUGUCUGGAGCUUUAUCUACAUCUGCCUGCAAGAAACGCAAGAGGACAAGAGGUGGUGCAAAGAGGAGGAUGUCAGGAGAACCGUGCUUCUUUUGUCAGCAAAGGCUGUGUGGACAUUUAUGUUUUGUUCCAAAACCCACAAUGAAUAUCAAUUGAUCAAAGUCGCGCCAGCAAAUGUCACGGUUUUCAGUCGUCCCUGACAAUUGAAGGUAUAUUUAUCAAAUAAUGUUCUUGUAUUUAUGCAGCUUCAUUGAAGUCGUCAUAACGAUCCCCUCAAAAAGACGUCAGUAAUGCUAAAACUGAAAACACUUUGACAUGCAUGCUAGUCCAGUAGUUGGCAAACGUACCAGUUGCUCUCAGGUGUUAUCCAACAGUGUCUUAAUACCCUUUGUCAGGAUAUUUGCGGGUUUAGAAUUAUGAUGUACUGUAAGUACUGCGACUCUGCCCGUCAUGUUAGUGUUUAGGAGUGUGAUAAGAUAUUGUGAUGUACUGCAUUGUCCCAGUAUUCAUAUGUAGUGUCAUCACAGUGUAUGUACCGGCCAUAUGUGUUGUAUUUAUAUUCAAUAUCUAAUAGAAUCUCUCUUUACUUUUCAAUAAAUUCACAGUUAAUUCCUG